Molecule: long non-coding RNA, 1275 nt
Filed under: Triticum aestivum (bread wheat)
Lineage: Eukaryota; Viridiplantae; Streptophyta; Magnoliopsida; Poales; Poaceae
Description: long non-coding RNA (TAES_LNC001385)
Source: RNAcentral
UGCCAUUUAAGUGGAUGAUUGCAAAUAUCAUACCAUAAUGUCACAUUGCUGUUAUAACAGAUGUGCAAAUAAGGCAAAAAAAUGGGUUGGGAGUGUGCAAAUAAGAUAUAGGGGGAGUACAGGAAGGAUGAGGAAGAGGGCGAAGUACCUGCCCAUCACGUCCACACAAGAAUCCGUCAAAGUAGCCAAUUGAUCUAACAAAACCUAGAAGAGUACAGCUAUUGUUUUCACAACAGAACGAAGUAUUCUCUCCACAUGUUUUCUGGUACCUUAUAACACUGAUGCUGCAUGAACAUUUAGAACCAAUUUAAAGGGAUCCUUUCGAUUGUUUGACAGGUCAAAGGAAUAGGUAGUUAGUGAAAGGGGAUAAGCCUCUUCGGAGUGAAUUGAUAUUGCAUUUAAGUUUAAUGAGCGGACUAUUUUUUGUAGGAAGAAAAGAGCGACAUACACACUAAUGUUUACAGUAGAAUUUAUUCACCGUUUAGCCACAUCAAGAUUCAAAUUUGUUAAACAAAGACUAACAGUCCUAGAAAAUAAGUUGUUAGGCGAGAGCUUCUAUAAAAAGAGAAAAUGAAGUUUGGAGAUAUUAACCUUUAACUGAACAACGCGACGAACAACAGUACUGCAAUUUCACUGUUAUACUUGAUAUGCUUCUAUCAUUAACCAUCAGUACUGUAAGGAAAUCUUGCUUUCCUCUCACAUUAAGCAUAAUUUAAUUUAGAAUUUAGAUGCAUUUACCAAUCUAUGGUUUCUAUAUCUGGACCUGAACAAAAGCAUAUCAGAUUGAGUUCUCUUUCUAUUGUUUAUCUGUCCAAUGUAUAGAUGAUCAGAUUGUAUAAAUCUUCUUCGGGGAAAAGGAAGAACAUAUUACUUCUAACAACUGGCAUUUUGAGUGGAGCCAAGCAAUGUCGUUGGGGCCAAGAGAAAAUCGGUAUUUCACAAAUUCUAACACUCAAGUAGCAACUUGCAUCCUGAUGAAAUAUAAAUACGCUAAGCAAAUAAGAUAAGAGACAACCUCAACCACAUGGGCUAGAGCUUCUUGUUUUUUAAUCUAGAAACACAUGAGUCAGAACUUGAGCUUUUUCCUUAUUUUUCUGGUGGAUACCUGAGGAUAUUGGAGCCCUUGAUGGGCUGGUGAUGGCAAGAUCGAGGUAGCGAUUGAGGAUCUGGCAGCAACAAAAACCAAGGAGCGAUUCUCCAUCACCAGCGUUUGCAGCAGCAGCGGUGACCACGGGGAUGGCAAGCGCCGUAGCUGAUGCUCCUAACCGGCGAAGC